GGCAACCUGCCUAUAAGACUGGGAUAACUUCGGGAAACCGGAGCUAAUACCGGAUACGUUCUUUUCUCGCAUGAGAGAAGAUGGAAAGACGGUUUACGCUGUCACUUAUAGAUGGGCCCGCGGCGCAUUAGCUAGUUGGUGAGGUAAUGGCUCACCAAGGCGACGAUGCGUAGCCGACCUGAGAGGGUGAUCGGCCACACUGGGACUGAGACACGGCCCAGACUCCUACGGGAGGCAGCAGUAGGGAAUCUUCCGCAAUGGACGAAAGUCUGACGGAGCAACGCCGCGUGAACGAAGAAGGCCUUCGGGUCGUAAAGUUCUGUUGUUAGGGAAGAACAAGUACCAGAGUAACUGCUGGUACCUUGACGGUACCUAACCAGAAAGCCACGGCUAACUACGUGCCAGCAGCCGCGGUAAUACGUAGGUGGCAAGCGUUGUCCGGAAUUAUUGGGCGUAAAGCGCGCGCAGGUGGUUCCUUAAGUCUGAUGUGAAAGCCCACGGCUCAACCGUGGAGGGUCAUUGGAAACUGGGGAACUUGAGUGCAGAAGAGGAAAGUGGAAUUCCAAGUGUAGCGGUGAAAUGCGUAGAGAUUUGGAGGAACACCAGUGGCGAAGGCGACUUUCUGGUCUGUAACUGACACUGAGGCGCGAAAGCGUGAGGAGCAAACAGGAUUAGAUACCCUGGUAGUCCACGCCGUAAACGAUGAGUGCUAAGUGUUAGAGGGUUUCCGCCCUUUAGUGCUGCAGCUAACGCAUUAAGCACUCCGCCUGGGGAGUACGGCCGCAAGGCUGAAACUCAAAGGAAUUGACGGGGGCCCGCACAAGCGGUGGAGCAUGUGGUUUAAUUCGAAGCAACGCGAAGAACCUUACCAGGUCUUGACAUCCUCUGACAACCCUAGAGAUAGGGCUUUCCCCUUCGGGGGACAGAGUCACAGGUGGUGCAUGGUUGUCGUCAGCUCGUGUCGUGAGAUGUUGGGUUAAGUCCCGCAACGAGCGCAACCCUUGAUCUUAGUUGCCAGCAUUCAGUUGGGCACUCUAAGGUGACUGCCGGUGACAAACCGGAGGAAGGUGGGGAUGACGUCAAAUCAUCAUGCCCCUUAUGACCUGGGCUACACACGUGCUACAAUGGAUGGUACAAAGGGCUGCAAACCUGCGAAGGUAAGCGAAUCCCAUAAAGCCAUUCUCAGUUCGGAUUGCAGGCUGCAACUCGCCUGCAUGAAGCCGGAAUCGCUAGUAAUCG
RNAcentral lists this ribosomal RNA (1239 nucleotides) under Peribacillus frigoritolerans. RNAcentral's name for it is "bacterial SSU rRNA". It matches the Rfam family "Bacterial small subunit ribosomal RNA", at positions 120 to 1344 of the family's 1533-position model. Lineage: Bacteria; Bacillati; Bacillota; Bacilli; Caryophanales; Bacillaceae. The record is from RNAcentral.